CUUCCCCUUAGGCUGGACGAUGGACACAGUCAAUGCCAGCACCCCAUGCCGCCCUUGGUCAGGGCAGCUGCCAGCUCAGGUCACUCUGAACGCCAGUCUCCUCCUCUUCUCCGGGUAUUCCAGCUUCCCCGGCCUGACCACACUCCCCUCCCCCCUGGCCGAGGCACCUCUGGCGCGGUUGCAGCCGCGGAGAACUCGAGGAGACCUGGCCGCCUCCCCUGGAAAUUACCUUCUAAUAGAAACCAAGAACGCGCGAAUACAACUAAUUACGGACGGUGGCUAGUACCGUGUAGGAAAUACACAGGGAGCUGUGGUAGAAACUAACAGGCCUCCUCAGGAUGUAUGACGUGUCACUUGACCCUCCUCUACUUGGCCUGGGCCCCAGGCAUACUUUUGCAAAGUUCUCUGACUCCUGGUUUGGAAUACUGUCCUCUGAUUAGCUCAGCAUCAUUCUUCAGAUCUCUGCUCAAGUGUUACGGAGUGUGUGACGCCUUUCUUGAUUUCCCCAGCCAGACUCCUUGUUGCUGCUUCUACUUUUUCUUACCCCUAUACUAAGGGCCAUUAGAGCACAUAUCACUAUUUCAUUUGUUUGCAUAUCUGUAUAAGGAAAAGCCACAGUUCAGUCUUUCUCUUGAAUAGAGAAAAACUCAGUCC
Neofelis nebulosa (Clouded leopard) is the source of this 654-nucleotide long non-coding RNA. RefSeq lists it as uncharacterized. The record is from RefSeq and is a predicted model, not a curated record. Lineage: Eukaryota; Metazoa; Chordata; Mammalia; Carnivora; Felidae. The transcript has 2 exons.